Physcomitrium patens is the source of this 1974-nucleotide non-coding RNA. Lineage: Eukaryota; Viridiplantae; Streptophyta; Bryopsida; Funariales; Funariaceae. The record is from RefSeq and is a predicted model, not a curated record.
AUAGGGGACCGGGCCGCCUUGGACCCCCUCUCUGUAUUUUUUGUUUUUCUUUUGGGUUUUUUGUUUAUUUUCGGUAGAGAGAAUUCUGGCUACGAUCGCCACAGAAUUCUCCUUGGAUUUUUUUUUGUGUGUGUGCGGCGGAGGUUGUUGCGUUGUGUCUAGGUUGCAACUCCGUUUCUUUUAGUAGUGUCACGGCUUGAACCGCUUGAAGCUUUUUUCUUGGUUAUGUUAUUGCCGUUCCCUUGGCCCUGUCGUUUUCCUUCCGGAGCUGGCGUCUGCUUCCUGCAUGCUGCGGCUGGGCUGCAGUGGUCUCCUCCGGCGCCGUGGAGCUCUUGGGAUGCUCUUAGGCGCUAGCCGGAGUGCUGGGAUUUUUUGCCUACGUCGAUUCUCGUGCGGGGAAGAAGCUCUCACUACUGGAUCCUCGUUGGCCGUCCAGGUGUUUUGCUGUGGUGGUUGUGCGUUGCGGCUGAGUGUUGAAUGCGACUAGCAUCGCAUUGAGCUGGUUGCGGUGUGGUACAUCCGAGGCUCACCCAGUCUUCACGUUCCCGUUCCAGUUGUCGAGCAGCCGCAUGUGGUGACAUCUAUACGUUGGGUGGUAAUGCCUCCGGUGAAGGUAGUUGCGAUUGGUCAAGAAGAUCGACGACAUUGUUUGAGUAGAAUCCUUCCCUGUUUUGAUUUUUUGUAGGUUCUUUCUUAGGCUCCAAUUGUCACGGUAUUUCCGUAAUUCAAUUUUCUUGUGGAGCGGUUCCCUGGCGCCGCGAAGUUGCUGAUCUGGUGGCGGUGGCAGCAGUCACUGUGUGCGGCUGUUGGUUUCAGCGGUGCUGAUCCCCUCGUCAUCGACGUUCGACCUCGUGGCGACUGGAGCUUCGAUGCGGUCCAGAUCUCCUUUUCUCUGUUUUCUCGUUCAUGUGCUGUGUUUUUUUUCAAAGCUCCGUAGGUUGCGGUGUGCUGCGGCAAGGAUGUUGUGUAUUUUGGUGUUGCAGUAAUGUUGCGAAUUGCAACGGUGCCUCCAACUUCCCUUUUGUAUUCCCUCUUGGUCACUGGAGUUAGCGAAUCCUGGACUUUGCGGCUGUGGACGUUGCUGUAUUGGGGUUUCAAGGAGCAAGCUGGUUCAUAUGUUUCCUUAGGUGGCGUUCUUUUUCUGGUAGAGUGCAGAAGCAUUGCCGGUGUUUCUUACGUCAAAUUCCUCUUGCGGUGUCGGCAGUGUUCAGCUCGUGGUUAGUGUAGCAAGGUGCAAUAAAAGAUCACCUGCACCGAAUUCUUGUUAUUUUUGUUCUCCGCCUUGUUGACCAGUGGUGUUUGGCAACAAGGCAACGUUGCCAUUAUCAUUCUCUGAGUGCGGCUGGAUCAACAAUUUAGGAGUAGUGCUGUAAUGCAAGUCAAUCUCCUUGGCCCAAGAUUGAUUGGAGCGGCCCAAGAUUGUCCUUACAAAGUUACGCAUUGUCGGAGCUACUGGUGGUUUGAUCUCUGCAAUUGGUGAACCUGCUGCUCAACGGAUCGAGAGGAAAGAGCUGCGGUUGUAGUAGAUCAGCGGCACUGUGAGCAUGCUCUUGUGUUUGAGGUGGCUCAAGGCGGCUGUUAGAGGAAGGAUUUAAAAAAUUGGAUUGCUCAUUUCGAAGUUGCGCGCGCCGAACCAGUUGAGCGGGAACAUCAACCUUGGAGCGGCGAUCUACUGUAACAAUUGCUCGAGAGGGUAUGGAGCUUGCUGGGCAACGACGACGACCUAUGUUCAUCCACAACUCCUCUUUGUACAAUCUCAAGUGGGAGAGUAAAUUAGGUUAAGGCACAAAUUAGGAUUUGGAUGAAUAAGUGUAGAUGAAGUUUAAUUAAGAAUGAAUUGAGUAGUUAAGAAAUUAUUCAAAGAUGAGAAGUGAUUCACGGAUGAUAAUUUAUGCAUGGAUGAAGUUUUGUAAAUGGACGAAAUUUUAUUCAUAUAAAAUAAAAUAAAAAUAAUAAAAAAAAAUUAAGAAUUAA